AACGCUGGCGGCGUGCCUAAUACAUGCAAGUCGAGCGAAUCGAUGGGAGCUUGCUCCCUGAGAUUAGCGGCGGACGGGUGAGUAACACGUGGGCAACCUGCCUAUAAGACUGGGAUAACUUCGGGAAACCGGAGCUAAUACCGGAUACGUUCUUUUCUCGCAUGAGAGAAGAUGGAAAGACGGUUUACGCUGUCACUUAUAGAUGGGCCCGCGGCGCAUUAGCUAGUUGGUGAGGUAAUGGCUCACCAAGGCGACGAUGCGUAGCCGACCUGAGAGGGUGAUCGGCCACACUGGGACUGAGACACGGCCCAGACUCCUACGGGAGGCAGCAGUAGGGAAUCUUCCGCAAUGGACGAAAGUCUGACGGAGCAACGCCGCGUGAACGAAGAAGGCCUUCGGGUCGUAAAGUUCUGUUGUUAGGGAAGAACAAGUACCAGAGUAACUGCUGGUACCUUGACGGUACCUAACCAGAAAGCCACGGCUAACUACGUGCCAGCAGCCGCGGUAAUACGUAGGUGGCAAGCGUUGUCCGGAAUUAUUGGGCGUAAAGCGCGCGCAGGUGGUUCCUUAAGUCUGA
This 577-nucleotide ribosomal RNA is filed under the name Bacillus sp. E83. Its description in RNAcentral is "bacterial SSU rRNA". It matches the Rfam family "Bacterial small subunit ribosomal RNA", at positions 32 to 592 of the family's 1533-position model. The record is from RNAcentral. Lineage: Bacteria; Bacillati; Bacillota; Bacilli; Caryophanales; Bacillaceae.